This 555-nucleotide ribosomal RNA is filed under the name uncultured bacterium. Its description in RNAcentral is "partial 16S ribosomal RNA". It matches the Rfam family "Bacterial small subunit ribosomal RNA", at positions 355 to 926 of the family's 1533-position model. The record is from RNAcentral.
UGGGGAAUAUUGCACAAUGGGCGAAAGCCUGAUGCAGCAACGCCGCGUGAGUGAUGAAGGCCUUCGGGUUGUAAAGCUCUGUCUUUUGGGACGAUAAUGACGGUACCAAAGGAGGAAGCCACGGCUAACUACGUGCCAGCAGCCGCGGUAAUACGUAGGUGGCAAGCGUUGUCCGGAUUUACUGGGCGUAAAGGAUGCGUAGGCGGAUUUUUAAGUGAGAUGUGAAAACCCUAAGCUUAACUUGGGGACUGCAUUUCAUACUGGAAAUCUAGAGUGCGGGAGAGGAGAAUGGAAUUCCUAGUGUAGCGGUGAAAUGCGUAGAGAUUAGGAAGAACACCAGUGGCGAAGGCGAUUCUCUGGACCGUAACUGACGCUGAGGCAUGAAAGCGUGGGUAGCAAACAGGAUUAGAUACCCUGGUAGUCCACGCCGUAAACGAUGAGUACUAGGUGUAGGAGGUAUCGACCCCUUCUGUGCCGCAGUUAACACAAUAAGUACUCCGCCUGGGAAGUACGAUCGCAAGAUUAAAACUCAAAGGAAUUGACGGGGUCAUAGCU